GACGAACGCUGGCGGCGUGCUUAACACAUGCAAGUCGAACGGAAAGGCCCUGCUUUUGUGGGGUGCUCGAGUGGCGAACGGGUGAGUAACAAGUGAGUAACCUGCCCUUGACUUUGGGAUAACUUCAGGAAACUGGGGCUAAUACCGGAUAGGAGCUCCUGCUGCAUGGUGGGGGUUGGAAAGGUUCGGCGGUUGGGGAUGGACUCGCGGCUUAUCAGCUUGUUGGUGGGGUAGUGGCUUACCAAGGCUUUGACGGGUAGCCGGCCUGAGAGGGUGACCGGCCACAUUGGGACUGAGAUACGGCCCAGACUCCUACGGGAGGCAGCAGUGGGGAAUAUUGCACAAUGGGUGGAAGCCUGAUGCAGCAACGCCGCGUGCGGGAUGACGGCCUUCGGGUUGUAAACCGCUUUCGCCUGUGACGAAGCGUGAGUGACGGUAAUGGGUAAAGAAGCACCGGCUAACUACGUG
RNAcentral lists this ribosomal RNA (468 nucleotides) under uncultured bacterium. RNAcentral describes it as "partial 16S ribosomal RNA". It matches the Rfam family "Bacterial small subunit ribosomal RNA", at positions 28 to 507 of the family's 1533-position model. The record is from RNAcentral.